CGUAGGGGCAAGCGUUGUCCGGAUUAUUGGGCGUAAAGAGCUCGUAGGCGGUUCGGUAAGUUGGGUGUGAAACCUCCAGGCUCAACCUGGAGACGCCACCCGAUACUGCUGUGACUAGAGUCCGGUAGGGGAGCGUGGAAUUCCUGGUGUAGCGGUGAAAUGCGCAGAUAUCAGGAGGAACACCAGCGGCGAAGGCGGCGCUCUGGGCCGGAACUGACGCUGAGGAGCGAAAGCGUGGGUAGCAAACAGGAUU
RNAcentral lists this ribosomal RNA (253 nucleotides) under uncultured bacterium. RNAcentral's name for it is "partial 16S ribosomal RNA". It matches the Rfam family "Bacterial small subunit ribosomal RNA", at positions 526 to 779 of the family's 1533-position model. The record is from RNAcentral.